UCGGGAAUUUUGGGCAAUGGGCGAAAGCCUGACCCAGCAACGCCGCGUGGAGGAUGAAAUCCCUCGGGAUGUAAACUUCGCAAGAACGGGGAGAAUAAGCCGGUGUGAACAUCACCGGCGAUGACGGUACCGUUUGUAAGCUCCGGCUAACUCCGUGCCAGCAGCCGCGGUAAUACGGGGGGAGCAAGCGUCGUUCGGAUUUACUGGGCGUAAAGGGCGCGUAGGCGGCCACCGCAAGUCAAUUGUGAAAUCUCCGGGCUUAACUCGGAAAGGUCAACUGAUACUGCGGGGCUAGAGUGCGGAAGGGGCAACUGGAAUUCUCGGUGUAGCGGUGAAAUGCGUAGAUAUCGAGAGGAACACCUGCGGCGAAGGCGGGUUGCUGGGCCGACACUGACGCUGAGGCGCGAAAGCUAGGGGAGCGAACGGGAUUAGAUACCCCGGUAGUCCUAGCCUUAAACGAUGAAUGCUUGGUGUCGUGGGUUACAAAGUCCCGGUGCCGUCGCUAACGC
RNAcentral lists this ribosomal RNA (509 nucleotides) under uncultured Acidobacteriota bacterium. RNAcentral describes it as "bacterial SSU rRNA". It matches the Rfam family "Bacterial small subunit ribosomal RNA", at positions 355 to 858 of the family's 1533-position model. The record is from RNAcentral. Lineage: Bacteria; Pseudomonadati; Acidobacteriota.